RNAcentral lists this unclassified non-coding RNA (439 nucleotides) under Hevea brasiliensis (rubber tree). Lineage: Eukaryota; Viridiplantae; Streptophyta; Magnoliopsida; Malpighiales; Euphorbiaceae. The record is from RNAcentral.
GAUCCAAGCAACGCGUAACCUGGCUGCUUCUUACGUACCUACUUCCAUGUUCUCCACCUUCAAGCCGCUUCCACCACAUCUCCUCCCACCGGCGAUGGUUCCGAUGGCAGCGAGGCAGCGUCAGUGUCCUUCAUGGUUUUACACGUCCCAUUCGAGUCUCAUCUCAAAUGGCAGCGGGCCUGACCCUGGAAGGCAUGUUGAAGGCAACGUUCUGGCAUUGGAUGAGGGUUUGGGGUUUCAUCCCAGAAAUUCAAUGGCGGCCUGGAGUGGAUUUACCAGAGAAGAGGUCGGGUCUCACCGUGAUAAGGGAUUAGGUAAUUUGGACUUGCAUUUAGGUCUUUGAUCACCUGUACAAUUAUUUGGGCUUGAUUCAAUGUUGAUGAUAUGUAGAGCCUUGUUGUGCCGUUAAUUAGGGACAUGUUUACAUUUUCCAAUUUGG